Molecule: ribosomal RNA, 433 nt
Filed under: bacterium 76-L049393-122-001-D10
Lineage: Bacteria
Description: bacterial SSU rRNA
Rfam family: Bacterial small subunit ribosomal RNA
Source: RNAcentral
GCAGUCGAACGGUAGCACAGAAGAGCUUGCUCUUCGGGUGACGAGUGGCGGACGGGUGAGUAAUGUCUGGGGAUCUGCCCGGCAGAGGGGGAUAACCACUGGAAACGGUGGCUAAUACCGCAUAACCUCGCAAGAGCAAAGAGGGGGACCUUCGGGCCUCUCACUGCCGGAUGAACCCAGAUGGGAUUAGCUAGUAGGUGGGGUAAUGGCUCACCUAGGCGACGAUCCCUAGCUGGUCUGAGAGGAUGACCAGCCACACUGGAACUGAGACACGGUCCAGACUCCUACGGGAGGCAGCAGUGGGGAAUAUUGCACAAUGGGCGCAAGCCUGAUGCAGCCAUGCCGCGUGUAUGAAGAAGGCCUUCGGGUUGUAAAGUACUUUCAGCGGGGAGGAAGGGAGUGAGGUUAAUAACCUCAUUGAUUGACGUUACCC